ACGUGUUUCGCUCUAGUUAGAGCAUCAUCAGGCCUUUAGAAGCCAUCCACACACUUAUGCUGUAACUGAUGAUGCUCUAACUAGAGCGAAACACGUGUAGCCCGUUUAAUUACAUGUUGUGAGACCGUGACUUUGUGUUUUUCUUUGUUUUUCGUCAAUCUAUAGUAAAUACAGAGAGAAAAGGAAAGGUCUUAUUAUAUAUUAUAAUCAGAAAUAAAUUUCAUUGAAAUAUUACUUACUUAUUUCUGGGUAUCAUGCUUCAGAGAACCAUGAUGUGUUACAAUACGCUCCGCUCUUUAAUUUUAGUUUAGUAGAAAAUAUUCUCAAAACCUGCAUAUAUCAAAAUUAUGUCAAGGUUCUAAAAUGAAUCGGUAAUAAAAUCGUAAACCAGAUCAACAUUGGAAAUAAUUUAAAAAAUUUGCUUUGGUCCGAUUGAAAAAAGUACUAUACUAGCAAAUAGUUACAUCUAUUCUGUAGCAAUAAAAGUUAUAAAAUUUUGUCUAUUAUUAAUUUUAAUCUUAUAAAGUGUAUCGUUUAACUCUUAGCCAUUAUUUACAAUUUAAUUGUUAAUUAUGCCUAAAAAAAACGAAUUAACAACUUUGGUAUUGUUUGGAAGGUAAACAGCUUAAUUCCUUUAUGUAAAGCCACCUUAACAUGUUUUUGCAUAAUUCUGACUCACGUUGGUUGCUAUCGGGCUUAAGCCAUAAAAAUCGAAGAAAAAAAGAAGAAGACGAAGAGACUUUCACUUGUCAUUUCAAUGUCACUUUCCGGCCCACAAGCAUAAACGCCACCGGCAACGGAAGUUCCCAAAAUCCAAACAAAUGUUGGAAGAUAUUUUUAAGUCUCCACAUCUUUCUUACUUUCCUAUAUGAAAAUAAAAUUGGACUACACCAACAAAGGUUAUGUGUUUUGCACCAGAUUGAAAGCAUCAUAGCGAAAAACGGACCUGUCAUAUCUUUAAAUUUUCAAAAGAGCCCCUGGAAAAAGAAAAAUGAAUAUCUUUGCCAAGGAAUACUAAGGCAAAUGGAUAAAAAACCUUCAGUCCAUGCAUUGGUAUGUAAUUGUUGACAAAAAUACAAUGAAUGGCCUCACUACUUUUCCACAUGCAAAGAGGUUAACCAAGGAGAAAUUAAAG
This is a long non-coding RNA of Anthonomus grandis grandis, 1135 nucleotides long. RefSeq lists it as uncharacterized. Lineage: Eukaryota; Metazoa; Arthropoda; Insecta; Coleoptera; Curculionidae. The record is from RefSeq and is a predicted model, not a curated record. The transcript has 3 exons.